AGAGGAGCUGGCUCCUUGGGUGGCGAGUGGCGGACGGGUGAGGAAUGCAUCGGAAUCUGCCUUGUUGUGGGGGAUAACGUAGGGAAACUUACGCUAAUACCGCAUGAGACCUUGAGCUGAGAGGCUUUUGGUGAAAGAGGGGGACCGCAAGGCCUCUCGCGACAAGAUGAGCCGAUGCCGGAUUAGCUAGUUGGUGGGGUAAAGGCCUACCAAGGCGACGAUCCGUAGCUGGUCUGAGAGGAUGAUCAGCCACACUGGAACUGAGACACGGUCCAGACUCCUACGGGAGGCAGCAGUGGGGAAUAUUGGACAAUGGGCGCAAGCCUGAUCCAGCCAUGCCGCGUGUGUGAAGAAGGCCUUCGGGUUGUAAAGCACUUUUGUUGGGGAAGAAAUCUCGCUGGUUAAUACUCGGCGAUGCUGACGGUACCCAAAGAAUAAGCACCGGCUAACUUCGUGCCAGCAGCCGCGGUAAUACGAAGGGUGCAAGCGUUACUCGGAAUUACUGGGCGUAAAGCGUGCGUAGGCGGUUUGUUAAGUCUGCUGUGAAAGCCCCGGGCUCAACCUGGGAACUGCAGUGGAAACUGGCAAGCUAGAGUGUGUCAGAGGAUGGUGGAAUUCCCGGUGUAGCGGUGAAAUGCGUAGAGAUCGGGAGGAACAUCAGUGGCGAAGGCGGCCAUCUGGGACAACACUGACGCUGAGGCACGAAAGCGUGGGGAGCAAACAGGAUU
Molecule: ribosomal RNA, 728 nt
Filed under: uncultured bacterium
Lineage: Bacteria
Description: bacterial SSU rRNA
Rfam family: Bacterial small subunit ribosomal RNA
Source: RNAcentral